Molecule: ribosomal RNA, 450 nt
Filed under: uncultured bacterium
Lineage: Bacteria
Description: partial 16S ribosomal RNA
Rfam family: Bacterial small subunit ribosomal RNA
Source: RNAcentral
GUGGGGAAUAUUGGACAAUGGGGGGAACCCUGAUCCAGCCAUGCCGCGUGUGUGAAGAAGGUCUUCGGAUUGUAAAGCACUUUAAGUUGGGAGGAAGGGCAGUAAGUUAAUACCUUGCUGUUUUGACGUUACCGACAGAAUAAGCACCGGCUAACUUCGUGCCAGCAGCCGCGGUAAUACGAAGGGUGCAAGCGUUAAUCGGAAUUACUGGGCGUAAAGCGCGCGUAGGUGGUUUUGUAAGUUGGAGGUGAAAUCCCCGGGCUCAACCUGGGAACUGCCUCCAAAACUGCAUGACUAGAGUACGGUAGAGGGUAGUGGAAUUUCCUGUGUAGCGGUGAAAUGCGUAGAUAUAGGAAGGAACACCAGUGGCGAAGGCGACUACCUGGACUGAUACUGACACUGAGGUGCGAAAGCGUGGGGAGCAAACAGGAUUAGAAACCCGUGUAGUCC